This 483-nucleotide ribosomal RNA is filed under the name uncultured bacterium. RNAcentral's name for it is "bacterial SSU rRNA". It matches the Rfam family "Bacterial small subunit ribosomal RNA", at positions 28 to 508 of the family's 1533-position model. The record is from RNAcentral.
GAUGAACGCUAGCGGCAGGCCUAAUACAUGCAAGUCGAACGAUACCAAGAGGCUUGCUUCUUGGAAAAGUGGCGCACGGGUGCGUAACGCGUAUGCAACCUACCUUAAUCAGGGGGAUAGCCCGAAGAAAUUCGGAUUAACACCGCAUAAAAACACAGGAUAGCAUUAUCCAAUGUUCAAAUAUUUAUAGGAUUGAGAUGGGCAUGCGUGUCAUUAGCUAGUUGGCGGGGUAACGGCCCACCAAGGCGACGAUGACUAGGGGAUCUGAGAGGAUGACCCCCCACACUGGUACUGAGACACGGACCAGACUCCUACGGGAGGCAGCAGUAAGGAAUAUUGGUCAAUGGAGGCAACUCUGAACCAGCCAUGCCGCGUGCAGGAAGACUGCCCUAUGGGUUGUAAACUGCUUUUAUACGGGAAUAAACCUCUGCUCGUGAGCAGAGCUGAAUGUACUGUAAGAAUAAGGAUCGGCUAACUCCGUGC